AUUAGCUCAGUUGGUAGAGCAUCUGACUUUUAAUCAGAGGGUCAGAGGUUCGAAUCCUCUAUG
Molecule: transfer RNA, 63 nt
Filed under: Staphylococcus epidermidis
Lineage: Bacteria; Bacillati; Bacillota; Bacilli; Caryophanales; Staphylococcaceae
Also listed under: 3 other names
Rfam family: tRNA
About the family: Transfer RNA (tRNA) molecules are approximately 80 nucleotides in length. Their secondary structure includes four short double-helical elements and three loops (D, anti-codon, and T loops).
Source: RNAcentral